Molecule: long non-coding RNA, 806 nt
Organism: Triticum urartu
Lineage: Eukaryota; Viridiplantae; Streptophyta; Magnoliopsida; Poales; Poaceae
Source: RefSeq, a predicted model, not a curated record
CAGAGACAGAAAAACAGACAGACAGACAGAAAUACCUUUGAGCAGCUGAUGAGCGCUUGAGUUGUUGUUGCUGUUCGUGUGGGUUAGGGCCCUGUGCUCAGGAGAGAUGGCACCGACGCCGAUCAGAUGGGUCGGCUUAACCAGGCGUCUGUUCGGAGUUGGUGUCACCUCGCCUGAACAUAGGGCUCACUAGCCCUGUCAAAGUACCAGCUUCAGAGGAGAGGGGAGCACAGGUGAUAAUGCAACUGCAGCUGAGCACCGCCUCCUCUUCCUCUCCUCCCGUUUCCCUCCGCGUUUCCUCUUGCAGGUCGGGUCAGCUGGAGACGCGGCCGUUCCGUCAUGGCAUGAGACGCACGCAGCGGGCUGGCGGAUGUUGGAGCUGGGCGGCAGACGGCCACACGCAGAGGCUGGCCAGCCAUGCAUCGAUCCAUGGAACGAAUCCCAGAACAAUUCGUCCGUGAAGCAUCGCCAUCAACUCGAGCUCCACUCCGCGUUUCCUCUCUCGGAGAAUGAAGGCGGCCGUGCGUGCAGCUCCCAGCUGAGCAAGACCGCCAAUUUCGGCUGCUGGCGUAAGAUCGCCUUAUUUUUCUGAUUGCAACGAGGUUGUUGGCCUGCACUCUGUUCUCUGCUGGGUGUAACCGGCUGGGUUAGCUUUAAAAUAGGUUCUGACUUCUAACAAAUUGUUGGCUGCAGCUUUGUUUUGUGGCGAAUAUUGCUUCCUUGGUUCUGCUUUGCCUUUCCCACUCUAUGAACCUCGGCUGAACUAUGCUGUAAGAUUUCUCGAUCAAAAAUUCGAUGGUUGGUUA